AAAGAAAACUCAUUUAUUGAUGAUUGAAGUUUAAUCAAAACAAAAGUCAUAGUAGCAAUGACUAUUAUACUAAAAACAACUAUGAGAAAAGUAACACACAAUAACUAAUAAGGAAAUUAAAAUGAAACAAAAAAAAUUGUAAACAAAUAUGCAAAUUAUAUAAACUAUAUAGAUGUAAGAUGUAACUUAAGUGGUAACCCAAGUAAACACGGCUUACUAUUUCAUACAUAAUAACAUUAUCGAAUCUCCAAAAAUUAUGAAAACCAACCAUAGAAGAACAAAUAGAUGCAAAAAAAAUGUAUCAUAAAUAAAUUAAAAAUAUGGAAAUGGUUGUAUUUUAAAGUUUUAAAAAUGUUCUGACAUAAUAGUAGUGCUUCAUGAUUUUAAUUAUAGAUUUAGUCUUAUCAAUCAAAAUUAUUUGGCCUAUGCUUUCUUCAUCAUUCGAUCAAGAAGAUCUUUAACUCUAACCCAACCAGUUGUUUAGAGUUCCUAUGCUUCAUGUUCUUCUCAGCUAUUGCAAUCUUGUUGCUGCAGCUCCACCGUUUUCUGAGUUCCAACCCCAAAACUCAACUUUUUUCAGUCAUUCUUGACCUCCUCAACACUAUAAAGACAUAAAAGAUGUGAUUCUUUUAAAAUGAGCUUGAAAUUUGAUUGAACACCUACAAGAACACAGAGGGAGGGUUGGAGAAAUGCUCAAUCUUGAAGAUGUUAGUGAAAAAAAACAAUGGCAAAGUAGCAUAGAUGGUGCUAGCAAUAUGCGAUUCACCAAUUUCAGUGUCGCUAACAGGCAUCUUUCCCACUCUGAAAAAGUCAUAGAACGCAACAAUUACUUCUUCAGGAUGUUCAGCACAAUACUGCAUAUGCCUCAUAAACUUAGGAAUAUACUUAAGGAAGUACUACAAUUAAAUGACUUAAUAGAAAAUUCUGCCUUCUGCCCUUACAUAAUAUUACAGUAAAUUUAAUUUUAAAUAACCUGAGUUCCUUGUUCAGGUUAUUUGGAUGAGUUGUUACAACGUUUUCAUCCCUAUAAUUUGACCCAAAAUCAUCUUAACACGCUCCAAAAGGACUAUUGCAAAUUGUCUUCCAACUGACUCAUCAACAACCACAUAGUAAGCUGUAAAUUGAAUGAUAGCAUUAGCAUAGGCAAGUCUAUUAAUCAGCAACUGUGCAAAAUUGAUAUAUAUGUAAUAGUGCAAGAGAGCAGGAACCUAUUCACAUGAAUGAGACUAAUCAGAACAACGUUUUCCUCAAAAGAGGAGCAGUUAUUUCAAUUUGAUGGCAAGAUCCAUACCAACGCUUUCAAAGAGGGGCUUAUCAGUAGAUCAUUGAUUACAUAAACAGCUAAGAAUACUUGAGCCAGAAAACAAAUACAGAUACUCAAAAUUAGGUGACCUAAGAAAUGCAAUACUGCGUAUUUGAGAACUCCUUCAAUUACGACAAAAAAGGAUAAGUAGGUAAGUUGUUACCAUCUUCAAAACUGUAAUGUAUUAAGAGAAAAGGGAGUAUUGGAGAAAAAUCAGUACCUUCCUACAACAACCUUUCAAGUUAAGUAAGCAUGAUCAAUUUUCUGUUGUAAUGCCUCCGACUUUCUAUUACCUAGUCGAUUUUUGUGGCAUAAUUAAACAAAACUUAUCUGCGUCUUCUUCAAUAUGUACAAUAAUAAAGUUUUCAUAUCUAUUACUAUAUGAUAAGUUCGAUUUUUGAGGCAUCAUUAAGGAACACUUAUCUGGUUCUUCUUCAACAUGUAAAAUAAUAAAGUUUUCGUAUCUAUUACUACAUAGUAAGUUCAACCGACAAACUAAGAGAAAGCAUCUACCUUCAAACUACAGCAAUAUACUUGUGACAAAUCAAACACACAGAGUAUGACUUUGAAAUCCAAUGACACAACCAACCAUUCACAAUGUAGAAAUGAUUCUCUGAGAAAAAUAAUUUAACAGACAAAAUAUAACCAACAACAUUGAUGAAUCAUAACAUCAAAGUCAAUAUUAUAAAGUACAACAACGCAUGCCUAUAGACAACAAUUUCUAACUUAGAUAGUAUAUAAUCCACACAAAGAGAAAAAUUCAAACAUAAAUACCUGAAUAAUAGAAUAACUGCGACGAUUAAGACGAUCUUUGUAAAGUUCAAACGUCUGGUUAAUGCAAAGAUAAGUGUUUUCCAUCGCAUUUUUUGAAUUGUGAUAUUGCUGGUGAACUCUUGCUGAUGAACUCUAAAAAUUUUUUUAAGAAGACGUUAGUAUUUGGAGAAUGUUGAGAGAGAUUUGCAUAAUUGAAGUAUUUUGCCCUAUAUAAG
This 2292-nucleotide long non-coding RNA is filed under the name Capsicum annuum. RNAcentral's name for it is "long non-coding RNA (CANN_LNC007468)". The record is from RNAcentral. Lineage: Eukaryota; Viridiplantae; Streptophyta; Magnoliopsida; Solanales; Solanaceae.